UGAAAACCAUGGAACAUGGUCCUCCCGUAAGGGACAUCAGUACAGGUGGUGCAUGGCUGUCGUCAGCUCGUGUCGUGAGAUGUUGGGUUAAGUCCUGCAACGAGCGCAACCCUUAUUCUUAGUGUUUCCCUUUGGGAUUACCCUCUAAGAAGACUGCCUCGGAUAACGGGGAGGAAGGUGGGAUGACGUCAAGUCCGCAUGCUCCUUACGUCUAGGGCUACACACGUCCUACAAUGGGGUCGACAAUGGGAUGCAAUAUCGCAAGAUGGAGCCAAUCCCCAAACGGCCUCUCAGUUCGGAUUGUAGUCUGCAACUCGACUACAUGAAGUUGGAAUCGCUAGUAAUGGCAGAUCAGCAUGCUGCCGUGAAUACGUUCCCGGGUCUU
This 385-nucleotide ribosomal RNA is filed under the name uncultured bacterium. RNAcentral describes it as "bacterial SSU rRNA". It matches the Rfam family "Bacterial small subunit ribosomal RNA", at positions 992 to 1382 of the family's 1533-position model. The record is from RNAcentral.